UUGGAGGGCAAGUCUGGUGCCAGCAGCCGCGGUAAUUCCAGCUCCAAUAGCGUAUAUUAAAGUUGUUGCAGUUAAAAAGCUCGUAGUUGAAUUUCGGGGUUAGUAGGUUGGUCAUGCCUCUGGUAUGUACUGGUCUCACUGAUUCCUCCUUCCUGAUGAGCCGUAAUGCCAUUAAUUUGGUGUUGCGGGGAAUUUGGACUGUUACUUUGAAAAAAUUAGAGUGUUUAAAGCAAGCUAACGCUUGAAUACAUUAGCAUGGAAUAAUGAAAUAGGACGUUCAAUCCUAUUUUGUUGGUUUCUAGGAUUGACGUAAUGAUUAAUAGGGAUAGUUGGGGGCAUUAGUAUUCAAUUGUCAGAGGUGAAAUUCUUGGAUUUAUUGAAGACUAACUACUGCGAAAGCAUUUGCCAAGGAUGUUUUCAUUAAUCAAGAACGAAAGUUAGGGGAUCGAAGACGAUCAGAUACCGUCGUAGUCUCAACCAUAAACUAUGCCGACUAGGGAUCGGAUGAUGUUAAUUUUUUAAUGACUCAUUCGGCGCCUUACGGGAAAC
RNAcentral lists this ribosomal RNA (549 nucleotides) under uncultured Glomeraceae. Its description in RNAcentral is "SSU rRNA". It matches the Rfam family "Eukaryotic small subunit ribosomal RNA", at positions 548 to 1098 of the family's 1831-position model. Lineage: Eukaryota; Fungi; Glomeromycota; Glomeromycetes; Glomerales; Glomeraceae. The record is from RNAcentral.